AGGAUUGACAGACAAUUGUCUUUUUGUCAAAUUUAAAGACAAAAGAUAAUAGAUCUUUCAUGAUUAUGUGAUGGGUGGUGCAUGGCCGUUCUUAGUUCGUGGAGUGAUCUGUCUGCUUAAUUGCGUUUCAAAUAUAUUUUAUUAUAUAACGAGUCUACAANGGAGUGGUUCAUUAACAGACAAUCAUAUCUUUGAGCGUCUGGAAUCUACUCUAUUUGGCUC
Molecule: ribosomal RNA, 222 nt
Filed under: Globigerinella siphonifera
Lineage: Eukaryota; Foraminifera; Rotaliida; Globigerinidae
Description: partial 18S ribosomal RNA
Rfam family: Eukaryotic small subunit ribosomal RNA
Source: RNAcentral